AGCAGUAGCCGCGGUAAGACAGAGGAUGCAAGCGUUAUCCGGAAUGAUUGGGCGUAAAGGGAGCGCAGGCGGACAUAUAAGUCCAUCUUAAAAGUGCGGGGCUCAACCCCGUGAGGGGAUGGAAACUGUAUGCCUUGAGUGCAGGAGAGGAAAGCGGAAUUCCCAGUGUAGCGGUGAAAUGCGUAGAUAUAUGGAGGAACACCGGUGGCGAAAGCGGCUCUCUGGCUUGUAACUGACGCUGAGGCUCGAAAGCGUGGGGAGCAAACAGGAUUAGAUACCCCGGUAGUCCCUGUCUCUUAUACC
This 303-nucleotide ribosomal RNA is filed under the name uncultured bacterium. RNAcentral's name for it is "partial 16S ribosomal RNA". It matches the Rfam family "Bacterial small subunit ribosomal RNA", at positions 507 to 808 of the family's 1533-position model. The record is from RNAcentral.